GACGAACCGUGCGAACGUUGUUCGGAAUCACUGGGCUUAAAGGGCGCGUAGGCGGGCCGGCCGGUCGGAGGUGAAAGCCCCCAGCUCAACUGGGGAAGCGCCCCCGAUACCGCCGGCCUCGAGGGAGGUAGGGGCGUGCGGAACUUCCGGUGGAGCGGUGAAAUGCGUAGAUAUCGUUUGGAACGCCAAUGGUGAAAACAGGUUGCUGGGAGUGUGCUGACGCUGAGACACGAAAGCCAGGGGAGCAAACGGG
RNAcentral lists this ribosomal RNA (253 nucleotides) under uncultured bacterium. RNAcentral describes it as "partial 16S ribosomal RNA". It matches the Rfam family "Bacterial small subunit ribosomal RNA", at positions 524 to 776 of the family's 1533-position model. The record is from RNAcentral.